AAAAAUUACUUUACUUUCCUUUCUUUAUUCCUUCAGUCUGAAAAACCCACAGUCUUUAGUUUCUGCACUCGGCUUUUCUAUUUUUCUUCAUUCCCCAAAAACCCACACACAAUCUCAUUAAGAAAAAAAAAAAUCCAUGCUCCAUCUCCCUGCAUCUCUUACCUCUUCUCUUGCAAACAUAUGAAAGACUAAGGAAAAAUUGUGUUUGAGGUGAGCGGUAGUUUUGUAGAGGAGCUUCACUUGGAAAGUUUGCAGCAUCAAAUAGAAAGUGAUCUUAUGCCAAGUGCCCGAUGUGACCAAAGUGAUUCUUAUGUGGCAAGGGAUUGGAAUGAGCUAGGGGUGACAAAUUGUGGAAAUGAGACAAAACUCCUAAGUGGAUCAGUUAUCGAGGUGGAUUGCCUAAGGCAUUAUAUGUGGUGAAAGAUGUAUUAACUGGAAUGAGAAAACAUGUUCAUCUGCUGGACAUAACAACUUUAUCACAACUCAGAAAAGAUGCACAUCCUGGCUUGGCUUUAGGCGCAUGGACUGUAACCAUUGGUGUAUUGCAGGACUUCCAAAUACUUGGAAUCGACUUUUUAUGCAUUCCUCAUAAUUGUCAUGCUUGUUCUAGUAUUUUUAGUUUAUAAAAAUGAUCAUACGGUUACUUAGGUCCUUCCGUCCAUAGAUCACCAUUUUUAAGGGAAUCAAGUAUCAAAACACGAUCGAUUUUUUCAUUUUCAAUGUCAACCAGAUAUUGAGAGUUAAACAUCAUUAAUGAAACUCUACAAUCCUGCAUAAUUUAGAGUAUUUAAUAUAUUCAUAAUUUGAACCAUAAAUUUGCACAACUCUUUGAUUU
Molecule: long non-coding RNA, 835 nt
Organism: Ziziphus jujuba (common jujube)
Lineage: Eukaryota; Viridiplantae; Streptophyta; Magnoliopsida; Rosales; Rhamnaceae
Exons: 3
Source: RefSeq, a predicted model, not a curated record